This 638-nucleotide ribosomal RNA is filed under the name uncultured soil bacterium. Its description in RNAcentral is "bacterial SSU rRNA". It matches the Rfam family "Bacterial small subunit ribosomal RNA", at positions 35 to 668 of the family's 1533-position model. The record is from RNAcentral.
GCUGGCGGCGUGCUUAACACAUGCAAGUCGAACGCGCAGCAUUCUGUAGCAAUACAGGGUGUGGGCGCGUGGCGAACGGGUGCGUAACACGUGGAUAACCUUCCUUGAGGUGGGGAAUAACCCAGUGAAAAUUGGGCUAAUACCGCAUAACAUCGCGAUGGCACGUGCUGUUGCGAUCAAAGGCGCAAGUCGCCACAAGAGGGAUCCGCGGCCGAUUAGCUUGUUGGCGAGGUAAUGGCUCACCAAGGCAAUGAUCGGUAGCCGGACUGAGAGGUUGGCCGGCCACACUGGAACUGAGACACGGUCCAGACUCCUACGGGAGGCAGCAGUGGGGAAUCUUGCACAAUGGACGAAAGUCUGAUGCAGCAACGCCGCGUGGGGGAUGAAGCUUCUCGGAGUGUAAACCCCUUUCGACCCGGAAGAAUGCCCGCAAGGGUAUGACGGUACGGGUAUAAGAAGCCCCGGCUAACUACGUGCCAGCAGCCGCGGUAAUACGUAGGGGGCCAGCGUUGCUCGGAAUUACUGGGCGUAAAGGGUCCGUAGGCGGUGUAGCAAGUCGAUAGUGGAAUCUCUGCGCUUAACGCAGAGGCUGCUAACGAAACUGCUGUGCUAGAGUGUGAGGAGAGGCGAGUGGAAUU